AACGGUUAAGCCGGCUUCGGCCGGGAAUACAGUGGCGAACGGGUGAGUAACACGUGACCAACCUGCCCCCCGCUCCGGGACAACCGCUGGAAACGGCGGCUAAUACCGGGUACUCCGCGGGCCCCGCAUGGGGCCGGCGGGAAAGCCCAGGCGGCGGGGGAUGGGGUCGCGGCCCAUUAGGUAGUAGGCGGGGUAGAGGCCCACCUAGCCGACGAUGGGUAGCCGGACUGAGAGGUCGACCGGCCACAUUGGGACUGAGAUACGGCCCAGACUCCUACGGGAGGCAGCAGUGGGGAAUUUUGCGCAAUGGGGGAAACCCUGACGCAGCAACGCCGCGUGCGGGACGAAGGCCCUCGGGCUGUAAACCGCUUUCAGCAGGGAAGACAUCGACGGUACCUGCAGAAGAAGCUCCGGCUAACUACGUGCCAGCAGCCGCGGUAAUACGUAGGGGGCGAGCGUUAUCCGGAUUCAUUGGGCGUAAAGCGCGCGUAGGCGGCCGCCUAAGCGGAACCUCUAACCCCGGGGCUCAACCUCGGGCCG
This 540-nucleotide ribosomal RNA is filed under the name uncultured bacterium. RNAcentral's name for it is "bacterial SSU rRNA". It matches the Rfam family "Bacterial small subunit ribosomal RNA", at positions 65 to 622 of the family's 1533-position model. The record is from RNAcentral.